GGCCUAAUACAUGCAAGUCGAACGGUGAUAGCAAUAUCAUAGUGGCGCACGGGUGCGUAACACGUAUGCAACCUACCUUAUACUUAGGGAUAGCCUUUGGAAACGGAGAUUAAUACCUAAUAGUACAUUUGACUGGCAUCGGUUAACUGUUAAAGAUUUAUUGGUAUAAGAUGGGCAUGCGUCCAAUUAGUUAGUUGGUGAGGUAAUGGCUCACCAAGACGAUGAUUGGUAGGGGAACUGAGAGGUUAAUCCCCCACACUGGCACUGAGAUACGGGCCAGACUCCUACGGGAGGCAGCAGUAGGGAAUAUUGGGCAAUGGAGGGAACUCUGACCCAGCCAUGCCGCGUGCAGGAUGAAGGCGUUAUGCGUUUAAACUGC
This 379-nucleotide ribosomal RNA is filed under the name uncultured organism. RNAcentral describes it as "bacterial SSU rRNA". It matches the Rfam family "Bacterial small subunit ribosomal RNA", at positions 45 to 433 of the family's 1533-position model. The record is from RNAcentral.